This 82-nucleotide non-coding RNA is filed under the name Yokenella regensburgei ATCC 43003. The record is from RNAcentral. Lineage: Bacteria; Pseudomonadati; Pseudomonadota; Gammaproteobacteria; Enterobacterales; Enterobacteriaceae.
AGCGAAUCACUCAGGUAUUCGGUACGACAUUGCUCACAUUGCUUCCAGUAUUAUUUGCCCGCACUCUGUGCGGGCUUUUUUU